GGGCGGUUAGCUCAGCUGGCUAGAGCGCUUCGUUUACACCGAAGAGGUCACAGGUUCGAGUCCUGUACCGCCCA
This 74-nucleotide transfer RNA is filed under the name Candidatus Spechtbacteria bacterium SB0662_bin_43. RNAcentral describes it as "tRNA-Val". It matches the Rfam family "tRNA". From Rfam's summary of the family: Transfer RNA (tRNA) molecules are approximately 80 nucleotides in length. Their secondary structure includes four short double-helical elements and three loops (D, anti-codon, and T loops). Lineage: Bacteria; Candidatus Spechtiibacteriota. The record is from RNAcentral.